Pimephales promelas (fathead minnow) is the source of this 738-nucleotide long non-coding RNA. RefSeq lists it as uncharacterized. The record is from RefSeq and is a predicted model, not a curated record. Lineage: Eukaryota; Metazoa; Chordata; Actinopteri; Cypriniformes; Leuciscidae.
UAAAUGUUAUAAUGUUUAUUUAAAUGCUGCGUGCCUUUUGACGUGUUCUAUGGUUUCAAUGGGCGUACGUGCGCGUAAACAUUGAGUCGCAAUUCAAAGACAGGAGCGCGCGUGAGCAGAUGGAAACCAUGGAAACGAGGAAACCUCAUCAACUGUCAAACAGCAAAACUAGCGUCUCUCACUGUUGUUUUCUCUGCUUUCAGAAGAUCAUCAUGCUGGUUGGCCUGCUGCACCCCCUGUCCAAGACAAUCUCAUUCUCCACGGCUAUGAACUCGACUAAUGAGAUGUCAAUCAUUUGACCCUGUGGUUCUUCAGGACAAGAUCUUGAUGCCAUCCACUGAACAUGACAUCGUACAUGACGAAGGUUUUCUGGAAUCCACAGCGGAAGGGAUCAAGGCAUGAGAUGUUGGCUUGGACAGAUGUACCUGUACACCACACCGACCUCUGCUUUUGGAUGGAUGGCUGAUUACUAUCAUGUUCUGUAUAAGUUUUAUAAUAGCAAAACUGAGCACCUUCGACAGUGGUAGAUGUAAAGUAGUCAGACAUCAGUACAUUUAAAGUCACAGAGAGAAAGUUUUUUAUAUAAGUAUAAAACAAUUUUUUGGCACCAUUAUACACCAAGAAAUGUGCAUAAUUGGCCAAAUUGAUAAUGUUUAUCAACAAAAAUAUGACCCUAUGAGUUUGCUAAUUUGUAGAAUAGGACACACACACACACACACACACUCUCUCUCUCUCUCU